GACGAACGCUGGCGGCGUGCUUAACACAUGCAAGUCGAACGGAAAGGCCCUGCUUUUGUGGGGUGCUCGAGUGGCGAACGGGUGAGUAACACGUGAGUAACCUGCCCUUGACUUUGGGAUAACUUCAGGAAACUGGGGCUAAUACCGGAUAGGAGCUCCUGCUGCAUGGGGGGGGUUGGAAAGUUUCGGCGGUUGGGGAUGGACUCGCGGCUUAUCAGCUUGUUGGUGGGUAGUGGCUUACCAAGGCUUUGACGGGUAGCCGGCCUGGGAGGGUGACCGGCCACAUUGGGACUGAGAUCCGGCCCAGACUCCUACGGGAGGCAGCAGUGGGGAAUAUUGCACAAUGGGCGGAAGCCUGAUGCAGCAGCGCCGCGUGCGGGAUGACGGCCUUCGGGUUGUAAACCGCUUUCGCCUGUGACGAAGCGUGAGUGGAGGUUAUGGGUAAAGAAGCCCCGGCUAACUUCGUGC
This 468-nucleotide ribosomal RNA is filed under the name uncultured bacterium. RNAcentral's name for it is "partial 16S ribosomal RNA". It matches the Rfam family "Bacterial small subunit ribosomal RNA", at positions 28 to 508 of the family's 1533-position model. The record is from RNAcentral.